Molecule: ribosomal RNA, 273 nt
Filed under: uncultured bacterium
Lineage: Bacteria
Description: partial 16S ribosomal RNA
Rfam family: Bacterial small subunit ribosomal RNA
Source: RNAcentral
UACGUAGGUGGCAAGCGUUGUCCGGAUUUACUGGGCGUAAAGGGAGCGUAGGUGGAUAUUUAAGUGGGAUGUGAAAUACUCGGGCUUAACCUGAGUGCUGCAUUCCAAACUGAAUAUCUAGAGUGCAGGAGAGGAAAGUAGAAUUCCUAGUGUAGCGGUGAAAUGCGUAGAGAUUAGGAAGAAUACCAGUGGCGAAGGCGACUUUCUGGACUGUAACUGACACUGAGGCUCGAAAGCGUGGGGAGCAAACAGGAUUAGAAACCCCCGUAGUCC